AAUUUUUGAGAGUUUGAUCCUGGCUCAGGAUGAACGCUGGCUGUGUGCCUAAUACAUGCAUGUCGAGCGAAGCACUUCGGUGCUUAGCGGCGAAUGGGUGAGUAACACGUACUUAACCUACCCUCAAGAUUGGGACAACACUUGGAAACGAGUGCUAAUACCAAAUACGUAUUUUUAUCGCAUGAUAGAUAUAUAAAAGGAGCUUCGGCUUCACUAGAGGAUGGGAGUGCGCUACAUUAGUUAGUUGGUAGGGUAAUGGCCUACCAAGACUAUGAUGUAUAGCGGGGCCGAGAGGCUGAUCCGCCACACUGGGACUGAGAUACGGCCCAGACUCCUACGGGAGGCAGCAGUAGGGAAUU
RNAcentral lists this ribosomal RNA (359 nucleotides) under Mycoplasma sp. RNAcentral's name for it is "bacterial SSU rRNA". It matches the Rfam family "Bacterial small subunit ribosomal RNA", at positions 1 to 363 of the family's 1533-position model. The record is from RNAcentral. Lineage: Bacteria; Bacillati; Mycoplasmatota; Mollicutes; Mycoplasmatales; Mycoplasmataceae.